This is a non-coding RNA of Hypomontagnella submonticulosa, 112 nucleotides long. The record is from the annotation of a GenBank genome assembly. Lineage: Eukaryota; Fungi; Ascomycota; Sordariomycetes; Xylariales; Hypoxylaceae.
GGUCUGAUGGUCUAGUGGUAGGAUUCUCGCUUUGGGCCCUUAAAAGGUUUCUCUUGCACAGUGUCCUGUGUAAAAAUGCGAGAGGUCCCGGGUUCGAUCCCCGGUCAGACCC